GGUUGUGUACUUUAUCCAAAAGAGCUAGCUUGCACCUAGCCAUAGGGCCACCCAGCCCCACAACUAC
This 67-nucleotide transfer RNA is filed under the name Parvasolenaia rivularis. RNAcentral's name for it is "Solenaia rivularis tRNA-Ala". The record is from RNAcentral. Lineage: Eukaryota; Metazoa; Mollusca; Bivalvia; Unionida; Unionidae.